GACGAACCGUGCGGACGUUGUUCGGAAUCACUGGGCUUAAAGGGAGCGUAGGCGGGCUAUCAAGUCUGGGGUGAAAUCCCACGGCUCAACCGUGGAACUGCCUUAGAUACUGACGGCCUCGAGGGAGAUAGGGGCAUGCGGAACUGUAGGUGGAGCGGUGAAAUGCGUUGAUAUCUACAGGAACUCCGGUGGCGAAAGCGGCGUGCUGGAUCUCUUCUGACGCUGAGGCUCGAAAGCUAGGGGAGCAAACGGG
Molecule: ribosomal RNA, 253 nt
Filed under: uncultured bacterium
Lineage: Bacteria
Description: partial 16S ribosomal RNA
Rfam family: Bacterial small subunit ribosomal RNA
Source: RNAcentral